This 253-nucleotide ribosomal RNA is filed under the name uncultured bacterium. RNAcentral describes it as "partial 16S ribosomal RNA". It matches the Rfam family "Bacterial small subunit ribosomal RNA", at positions 524 to 776 of the family's 1533-position model. The record is from RNAcentral.
UACGGAGGGUGCAAACGUUGCUCGGAAUCAUUGGGCGUAAAGCGUGCGUAGGCGGCCCGGCAAGUCGAAUGUGAAAGCCCUCGGCUCAACCGAGGAAGUGCAUACGAAACUACCGGGCUUGAAUACCGGAGAGGGUGACGGAAUUCCCGGUGUAGAGGUGAAAUUCGUAGAUAUCGGGAGGAACACCAGUGGCGAAGGCGGUCACCUGGACGGAUAUUGACGCUGAGGCACGAAAGCGUGGGGAGCAAACAGG